GACUGCUCUGCCUACAAAUGUCCGUAUUUGCCUGCCAACUUGGAUGCAGAUGUGAAAUCCUCCCCCAGUCAUUUGGACUCUCAUUUUUAAUUGACUUUCCUACGCUGUCCAGUCCUCCAGCAGCGCAGGGAACGCUGCGCCCCCCACCCUGCUGCAAGCAGAGAAAAAACAGAGAUGCUACAGAUCCUGUUAUCCUGCCCUUCUGCUGAGCUGCUGCCAGGGCAGCUGGAAGACAUGGGAUUUCUGCUAUCCUGCUCCUGGCAGCUGCAGAAGAGCUUGAGGGAUGAACCCCACGCGGGUGGCAAUGUUCGGUGACAAAGGCACCGCAUCCCACGGGUAAGGACAAGGUGCCCCAAGCUGCAGCCAGGUCUGUGCCACCCUCCUGCCCCUGCCAGCCCUGGCUACGGGGCAAACUCAGCCUACAAGGCUCUGGUUUCCCACCUGGGGAGCGAGCAGGACUCAGGUCAAGUCCCCGGUGCCUGCUCUCUUCAGCCCAGAUCCCAGCUGCAGACCCUGAUUACUGGGCAUGACCCUGCAGUUCGAAACAUGGGAAACCACGAGCUCACCUACCAAAGAGCUGUGCAGAAGGGUCCUUCCUUCUUUCAACAUCUGAAGAAUAUUUUUGUGAAGCUCUGGGUUGGGGACCCUGCCCGGAGGUGGGUCCGGGGACCCACAGCCCCGUGGGCUCCCCAAACCCCCCGGGAUGCAGCAGAGCAGCACCAGGACAUGGGUGUGGAAAUCCCAAGAGCAGAGGCGGUGUCGGUGGGUGACUCAAAUCUGAAACAGGCCCAGAUGUGAGGGAAGGCUCCAAAAACAUAGAAACAUAACCAGGCUACCGGCGCUCCACAGAAGCUUUAAAACCCACGGCUGGGGACAGAUGACAGGCGGGGAAGAUCCUGCAGGUGAAGGGGAUCUGUUGGUCGGGGAUAAGUCCCACAGACUGUCAGAGCAGGGCCGGGCUGAACGUCGGUACGCGGAGUAGGAAACCGUGAGUAAUGCGGCUCACAGCUCCAGCCUCUGAUCUGGAAACACAGCAGCAGGGAAGAGCAAAUGAGCGCGUCCUGCAGCAGAAGAGCUGUGACUCAUUUACUCCAAAGGUUACUACGGAACUGUUUACACAUUUCUUUGUGAUU
This is a long non-coding RNA of Oxyura jamaicensis (ruddy duck), 1133 nucleotides long. RefSeq lists it as uncharacterized. The record is from RefSeq and is a predicted model, not a curated record. Lineage: Eukaryota; Metazoa; Chordata; Aves; Anseriformes; Anatidae. The transcript is spliced from 2 exons.